GAUUUUUCUACCAUGCUAAUUUGUAUUUCAUUCCUAAAUUACUAAGUGAUUAUUGAUAUUAUUCCUAUAGGGGUAUUCCUGAUAAUUUUUAAUUUUCCAUAAGAAAAACCAUUUUGCAACCAUUUUAAUGUUGCAACUUCUACAAAGCUAGAAUUUAACCUUUUUUUUUUUUCUUUUUUCAUUGCUAGGGCUUAGACUCAGGGCCUUCUCACAUGCUAGAUGUGCUCUACCUCUGAGCUACAUUUCUGGCUUCUGACCUAAUAAAUUAUUAUUUUUUGAGAUGCUGGAAAUUGAACCCAGGGCAUUAUGCAGGCUAAUCAAGUGCCAUACCCCUCAGCUAUAAACACAGCCCCUAUAUUAUUUUUACCACUUACGAAAGAAGUUGGAUUUGGGCACUUAAAGAAAAAUGAGAUAACUUAUAGUGGAAUCAAAUAACACAAGUGAAUAGUCCUCACCUUUGAUUCUUAAUGUUUUGCUUUCCUCAUAAUCCAGAGUGGUCUUUCUGGAAAGUACUCUAAUACAUUGAAACAUACCUCUAAUGUCCCAACACCUCUCAUAUUGUGCCAAAACAUUCUAAAUGCAUUAUAUUAGAAAAUUUUGGGGAGAAAUAUUUUUAUACUGUUCAGUUAAAUUUUUUCCCAUCUUUAAGAAAUACAUUUCAUUUUCCCUUUUUAUUUCUGCUAUACAGUAGUUUGGAGGUACACAUCAAGAAUUAUAUCAGGGUUUUCUAGCAUUGCUAGUUGAUUUAUUUUCCAUAUCCUAAGUAGAUUGUUAUUAUUAUCUAGACUUAAGAUUUUAAUCACAUUUCCCUGAAACUAGGAAGGGAGCAGGGAAUUUUGGGCAGAGACUAGUUGAAAAUUCAGGCAGAGAUCUUAAUGCUGAUGGGUUGCAUCCUACACACCUGAAUCUUAACUGUAGUUUCUUUUGCAGUCUCUUUCAGCAUCUGCCCUGAGUUAAGCUGCAAACUCUUUCCAUCUGCAUACUUUUCUUAACUCUGAGCUAAUUUGGUUAAUCCCACCCUUCUGCUAUGUAUCUUCUCCCUCGAGUGUUUCGUUUUCAAGUUCCCACUUCCUUAGAACACUGGCAUUUCCUCUCUUCACAGGGUCCCAAGUUAUCCUGAAGAAGCCCAACGCUUUGCUUUUCCUGCUCUUGAGAAGUCCCAAGAUUCUGUGGUGCUGAUUCCAACUGCCACCUUAUGUCUAGAUUUUGAGUUGUUUUCCGAAUACUUGCAGAAGCAAGCCCUUGUUAUUGCUACCGAUUUCUACCGAUACCCUGCUUUGUCCUUCUCGCCACGCUUCUGUUUCUUUUAUCCCCUCACCACCUUGGGCACAAUGCAUAAAGGAUGGAAAAAGCAUGCCAGUCAGAAGUCUUUGAAUGAGGUAUCAAUGGAUGAAUAUUUAGGCACCUUAGGACUGUUUCGAAAGCUGACCGCUAAAGAUGCCUCUUGCCUCUUUCGGGCUAUUUCGGAGCAGGUAAAAGGAAAAAUGUGUUG
RNAcentral lists this long non-coding RNA (1492 nucleotides) under Marmota monax (woodchuck). Lineage: Eukaryota; Metazoa; Chordata; Mammalia; Rodentia; Sciuridae. The record is from RNAcentral.